RNAcentral lists this long non-coding RNA (1605 nucleotides) under Homo sapiens (human). RNAcentral describes it as "HSALNT0383558". Lineage: Eukaryota; Metazoa; Chordata; Mammalia; Primates; Hominidae. The record is from RNAcentral.
GAAAAAUAAAAAGAUGAACUCUUUGAGAUUAGAGGUAAUAAUAUCAAGAAAUAUCUGUUCUCAUUUGAGUGCAUGUGUCUCUGCAAAAUUCAUAUGUUGGAACUUAAAGCCCAGGGUGAUGGUAUUAAGAGGUGGUAGAAAGGCAUUUGGGAAUGGAUUACAUCAUAAAGGCUCUACCCUGAUUAAUGGGAUUAUGGAACAGGCUUCAAAGAGCUACCUGGAACUUCCAUCACUUCUACCAUGUGAAGAUAAACAUGAAUCUCUUUUUUCCCUUAUAUUUCUUCUGCCAUGUGAGAACACAGUAUUUGUCUUUUCCACCUUUCCAUGAUGUGAGGACACCCCAAGAAUGUCCCCUAAAGACAGGAAACAAGACAUGGAAUCUUCUGGCACCAUGAUCUUGGACUUCAUAGCCUCCAAAAUGAAUAGAGAACCUACAGACCCGCAUGUAUUGAAGUUUGAAACCACCUGUGUAAACAGCACACAGAUGAAGGACCACUUUACCCUGUUUCUCACACCAUAGGUGUCAUAGACAUACUAAUGAAGGGGCUGCCUCACACAGAGAGCUAUCUUACAAGGUUCUGAGAAUAAAAUGAGAGCUAGAAGAGACAUGAUUUCUACUUCAAUAUUUUAUUUGGCAACAUCCUACUGAAAAGACAAGCAAAACCACUAUGAUUCAUAAUACUUGCAGAUGAAGGCAAUAUGACACAAGAAGGUUAAACGGCCUCUCAUGACAAUCUUUGCUGUUCUAAGAGAAGUCAAGGUGAAGGGUUUAGUGCCUCUGAAGCUGGGGCAAGAAAACAAUCGGCUUCUCCAACGGUCAGUAAAGAAUACAAGGGCACAGUUAAAACAGAGCCACUGAAGUGAACAACCUUCAUGUGACCAACAGGAGAAACACCCCCUCCAGGAACCUAAGACCAGUUUGCUACAAGAAUACAAUUGGUAUUCCCCACAGUCACCCUCACAAGGGACACUUACAAAGCACACUCCAAUCUCAGCCAUUACUGACUGACAAGAGCCUGCCUGUCUGAAGCCUGCAGGCCCGAGAAGCUUCUUUCUCCCUUCUCUUGGCUAUUAGUCACAGCUGGUAAGGCUCACAGGAACCGAGACUGUUUGAAAACAGUUGGAUCACGAAAACGUUUGAGUCUUUCUGCUGCAAGCAACAAACUUGGCCCAGGCUGCCACAAGGAGAUGGAGUGGGAGUGGGGGUGGCGAUGGGAUGCACCAGGAACGAAGGAAGAAAGGGAAAUUGCUAACCACCUCACUUCAAAAUCUUCUCUGAGGGAGCCCGUGGCUAUUAUCCUGGUUCAAAUGUCACAGAUAGAAGAUAAUAAAAACAAGAAGAAAUAAAAUUCAAGAUCCAUUAGAACACUUCUGGAUUGUCCAUUACAGCAUGUAUUACCCAACAGAAAGAUGAUCACUAAUAGAUGACAAGCUAUUUAAUUUUAUGUUUACUUUUGGAAGGAUGCAGGUACUGUGCAGGGUUUCUACAACACAUCAGCAUUGCUUACACCAGUACUUCAAAUAUGAGUUAUUUAAUCACCCAAGUUAAAUGAAAAUAACCAAAUGAUUAAAUAAAAUCAAGUCAUACUUCAUGUGAAGACUUUA